This 73-nucleotide transfer RNA is filed under the name Paenibacillus polymyxa SQR-21. RNAcentral describes it as "tRNA-Gly (TCC) (tRNA-Gly-TCC-3-1)". The stretch from base 6 to 68 matches the Rfam family "tRNA", at positions 8 to 63 of the family's 71-position model. Rfam says of the family: Transfer RNA (tRNA) molecules are approximately 80 nucleotides in length. Their secondary structure includes four short double-helical elements and three loops (D, anti-codon, and T loops). Further hydrogen bonds mediate the characteristic L-shaped molecular structure. tRNAs have two regions of fundamental functional importance: the anti-codon, which is responsible for specific mRNA codon recognition, and the 3' end, to which the tRNAs corresponding amino acid is attached (by aminoacyl-tRNA synthetases). tRNAs cope with the degeneracy of the genetic code in two manners: having more than one tRNA (with a specific anti-codon) for a particular amino acid; and 'wobble' base-pairing, i.e. permitting non-standard base-pairing at the 3rd anti-codon position. The record is from RNAcentral. Lineage: Bacteria; Bacillati; Bacillota; Bacilli; Caryophanales; Paenibacillaceae.
GUGAUUGACUUCCUAUGAAUAGGGUAAGUAUCAGCCUUCCAAGCUGAUAGCGUGGGUUCGAUUCCCAUCACCC